AUAAUCUGCGAUAAGCGCCGGUAAGGUGAUAUGAACCGUUAUAACCGGCGAUACCCGAAUGGGGAAACCCAGUGUGUUUCGACACACUAUCAUUAACUGAAUCCAUAGGUUAAUGAGGCGAACCGGGGGAACUGAAACAUCUAAGUACCCCGAGGAAAAGAAAUCAACCGAGAUUCCCCCAGUAGCGGCGAGCGAACGGGGAGGAGCCCAGAGCCUGAAUCAGCAUGUGUGUUAGUGGAAGCGUCUGGAAAGGCGCGCGAUACAGGGUGACAGCCCCGUACACAAAAGCGCAUGUGCUGUGAGCUCGAUGAGUAGGGCGGGACACGUGGUAUCCUGUCUGAAUAUGGGGGGACCAUCCUCCAAGGCUAAAUACUCCUGACUGACCGAUAGUGAACCAGUACCGUGAGGGAAAGGCGAAAAGAACCCCGGCGAGGGGAGUGAAAAAGAACCUGAAACCGUGUACGUACAAGCAGUGGGAGC
This 480-nucleotide ribosomal RNA is filed under the name Salmonella enterica subsp. enterica serovar Schwarzengrund. RNAcentral describes it as "partial 23S ribosomal RNA". It matches the Rfam family "Bacterial large subunit ribosomal RNA", at positions 61 to 580 of the family's 2925-position model. The record is from RNAcentral. Lineage: Bacteria; Pseudomonadati; Pseudomonadota; Gammaproteobacteria; Enterobacterales; Enterobacteriaceae.